RNAcentral lists this ribosomal RNA (649 nucleotides) under uncultured bacterium. RNAcentral describes it as "bacterial SSU rRNA". The stretch from base 1 to 549 matches the Rfam family "Bacterial small subunit ribosomal RNA", at positions 339 to 873 of the family's 1533-position model. The record is from RNAcentral.
CCUCGGGAGGCAGCAGUGGGGAAUAUUGGACAAUGGGCGGAAGCCUGAUCCAGCCAUGCCGCGUGUGUGAAGAAGGCCUUUUGGUUGUAAAGCACUUUAAGCGAGGAGGAGGCUACUAGUACUAAUACUACUGGAUAGUGGACGUUACUCGCAGAAUAAGCACCGGCUAACUCUGUGCCAGCAGCCGCGGUAAUACAGAGGGUGCGAGCGUUAAUCGGAUUUACUGGGCGUAAAGCGUGCGUAGGCGGCUUUUAAGUCGGAUGUGAGAUCCCCGAGCUUAACUUGGGAAUUGCAUUCGAUACUGGGAAGCUAGAGUAUGGGAGAGGAUGGUAGAAUUCCAGGUGUAGCGGUGAAAUGCGUAGAGAUCUGGAGGAAUACCGAUGGCGAAGGCAGCCAUCUGGCCUAAUACUGACGCUGAGGUACGAAAGCAUGGGGAGCAAACAGGAUUAGAUACCCUGGUAGUCCAUGCCGUAAACGAUGUCUACUAGCCGUUGGGGCCUUUGAGGCUUUUAGGUGGCGCGNGACGACGACGAGUAAGGUAGUACCGCCGUUCGGGGUAGGGUUACGGGUUCGGCGAAGACGUUAAACCGUAACGAAGAAGUUAGUUAGGACGGNGAGAGAGCGACGACGGACGACGACGGAGGAGGAG